UACGAAGGGGGCUAGCGUUGUUCGGAAUCACUGGGCGGAAAGGGCGCGUAGGCGGCUUUUCAAGUCGGGGGUGAAAGCCUGUGGCUCAACCACAGAAUUGCCUUCGAUACUGUUAGGCUUGAGACCGGAAGAGGUUAGUGGAACUGCGAGUGUAGAGGUGAAAUUCGUAGAUAUUCGCAAGAACACCAGUGGCGAAGGCGGCUAACUGGUCCGGUUCUGACGCUGAGGCGCGAAAGCGUGGGGAGCAAACAGG
Molecule: ribosomal RNA, 253 nt
Filed under: uncultured bacterium
Lineage: Bacteria
Description: partial 16S ribosomal RNA
Rfam family: Bacterial small subunit ribosomal RNA
Source: RNAcentral